AUCAUCGCCUGUUUACCAAAAACAUCACCUCUAGCAUAACAAGUAUUAGAGGCAUUGCCUGCCCAGUGACUAAAGUUAAACGGCCGCGGUAUCCUGACCGUGCAAAGGUAGCAUAAUCACUUGUUCCUUAAUUAGGGACUAGAAUGAAUGGCUAAACGAGGGUUCAACUGUCUCUUACUUUCAAUCAGUGAAAUUGACCUUCCAGUGAAGAGGCUGGAAUACUACAAUAAGACGAGAAGACCCUAUGGAGCUUUAAUUUACUAGUUUAAUUUAUAUAAUAACAACCUAAUGGACCAAGACAAAAUAAAUAUAAACUAAAAAAUUUCGGUUGGGGUGACCUCGGAGAAUAGAAAAUCCUCCGAAUGAUUUUAACCUAGACCUACAAGUCAAAGUAAUAUUAAUAUCUUAUUGACCCAAUUAUUGAUCAACGGACCAAGUUACCCUAGGGAUAACAGCGCAAUCCUAUUUAAGAGUUCAUAUCGACAAUUAGGGUUUACGACCUCGAUGUUGGAUCAGGACAUCCCAAUGGUGCAGAAGCUAUUAAUGGUUCGUUUGUUCAACGAUUAA
RNAcentral lists this ribosomal RNA (567 nucleotides) under Rattus tanezumi (Oriental house rat). RNAcentral describes it as "partial large subunit ribosomal RNA". It matches the Rfam family "Bacterial large subunit ribosomal RNA", at positions 1792 to 2591 of the family's 2925-position model. Lineage: Eukaryota; Metazoa; Chordata; Mammalia; Rodentia; Muridae. The record is from RNAcentral.